Molecule: long non-coding RNA, 237 nt
Filed under: Lathyrus oleraceus (garden pea)
Lineage: Eukaryota; Viridiplantae; Streptophyta; Magnoliopsida; Fabales; Fabaceae
Description: Pisum sativum (pea) long non-coding RNA (PSAT_LNC012218)
Source: RNAcentral
GCACGCUUCUGAACCAUAGGAUCCUUUCAAUUUGUUUUAAUCUCACGUGUUGGUUUUGAUUACCAUCCUUGUAGCGUAUUGACUAGAGUCCAUCAUGGAACGCACGUUGAGAUCCACUUGAUCUACCACCUCAAUUAAUGAGGGAGAUCAAGUGGUCCACGUAUUUUUGCAAUUUCUGAUUUUUAGUUUUAUUGUUUUCUUUUCAUUAAUUCAUAUUAAUUUUAAUAUUGAUCCAAA